RNAcentral lists this ribosomal RNA (468 nucleotides) under uncultured bacterium. RNAcentral's name for it is "partial 16S ribosomal RNA". It matches the Rfam family "Bacterial small subunit ribosomal RNA", at positions 28 to 507 of the family's 1533-position model. The record is from RNAcentral.
GACGAACGCUGGCGGCGUGCUUAACACAUGCAAGUCGAACGGAAAGGCCCUGCUUUUGUGGGUUGCUCGAUUGCCGAACGGGUGAGUAUCACGUGAGUAACCUGCCCUUGACUUUGUGAUAACUUCAGGAAACUGGGGCUAAUACCGCAUAUGAGCUCCUGCUGCAUGUUGUUGAUUGGUAAAUUUCGGCGGUUGGGGAUGGACUCGCGGCUUCUCAGCUUGUUGGUGGGGUAGUGGCUUACCAAGGCUUUGACGGGUAGCCGGCAUGAGAGGGUGACCGGCGACAUUGGGACUGAGAUACGGCUCAGACGCCUACGGGAGGCAGCAGUGGGGAAUAUUGCACAAUGGGCGGAAGCCUGAUGCAGCGACGCCGCGUGCGGGAUGACGGCCUUCGGGUUGUAAACCGCUUUCGCCUGUGACGAAGCGUGAGUGACGGUAAUGGGUAAAGAAGCACCGGCUAACUACGUG